Long non-coding RNA from Pyrus x bretschneideri (Chinese white pear), 1717 nucleotides. RefSeq lists it as uncharacterized. Lineage: Eukaryota; Viridiplantae; Streptophyta; Magnoliopsida; Rosales; Rosaceae. The record is from RefSeq and is a predicted model, not a curated record. The transcript is spliced from 4 exons.
GAACGGAGAGAAUUCCACUCCAUAUAUCUCUAUAUACUAAAACUCAGUGAAGUGAGUACUGUAGAUGACCAGUGGACGAACGAUUUUGCCCCUGGCUUUUUCCUCCAGUUGUUAUUCUCUUUGGUUUUUGGGGCAGCGAAAUGCCGCUUUUGCCCAUUGCUUCCACGCGUUUGUCAUCGAUGAAUCCUCUCUUUGGACUGUGUGUUCUCGAUUUUUAUUUUGCUUUCCGUUGCUUACUCACAUCUUUCUCGCAGAUCUCUCUUCUGCUGUUCUCGGGAUUACUAAAUCUCGCCUUCGAUUCCAACAAGUGCGAUCAAUCUCGCCCCUUAAUUCCCUUUUGCCUUCUCUCUUUCGCCGUCGAUCUCUGCUUCAAUUCGUCUUCUCUCUCGCAAAUCUUUGCUUUUGUCCCAUUCGAACCUUUUCUGGGGUGAAUGGCUUCUCCACAACUUAGCACUGCAAGUGGGCGGAUUUCAUGGUCCUCGCCACCGGAAGAUCCACGUCGCACGUCAAGAACAUCGCUCAAGCCCUAAUUUACAAGGCAGGUUUUUGAUAAAAUUCACCUUCACAGACUGACUAAAAACUUGGUGAUCGGUAUAAAGACAAAAUAAAAAAGGUUUGACCCUAAUUUUUUCGUUGCGUUAUAACAAUGUGAUUCUAGCUUGCACAAACUACGAGGUAUACUCCAACCUAUUCUUUAACCAGCAUUAUACAAUCCAUGUUCUGUUGAAAUUUUGAAUAUUUUGUGAUGGAAAAGGUUAUGAUAAAUGUAAGGUAGAAAUUCUAUUAUGAGUUCUUCAGCUGAUUUGGGGCAUGUUUCUUUCCGAUAUUUAAUUUCAUCUGGAAACAAAUAGUGUUUAGAAUCACCAAGUCGUACAAAAAGUAUUUUAAAUUGUUUUUUAACCAAUUUAUUGCCAACUUUUCCAACGGGUUUCUUAUUUUAUUUUCCAUUAUUUUGCAACAAACCAAAGCCUUUCCAUGCUCAAGAAUUAAUGUGUGCUUAAGAAUUAAUUUGUUUUGUUUGAUCAUUAUGUUAUAAUACUAUAUGUGGUUGCAAGUUUGAAAAAUGUAGGGAGACAAAUCAGUUAUCAACAAAUUAGCAUGGUUCAUCCUAAUGCUAUAUAAGUUAGGUUGCUGAUUUGUUUCCUCAUUUCUUCAUUGGUAAUUUGUGUUUUCAGUGACUUUACGUUCUUGGGUAAUAAGUUUUUGUCAAGAGUUAAUAUGUUUCAUUUUUUUUUUUUUAAAUUUCUGUUUUGUAUGGUUCUGUUUCAUGUGAUUAGAGGUUCCAAAAGAGAAACGUUACUUCUUUUAUUUGGUCAGAGGAGCGGGGAGGAAGGUUUGUUCAAUUUUGGUUUUUCUGAUGGGUUAGGAAUAAAUUAUGUCACUAUUAAUAUUGCAGGUGUCCAGCUUGCAAAAAUUACAAGGUAUGCUACAAUCUAUACUUUUUAGGAAGAUUUGAUUCAAAUUGAUAGAUUUCGGUGAGAAAGAAACUUUUAUCUUUUCUUUUACUUAAGAACUCUUAGGACUUCAAAUUUGUAAAAGAUACGAAUAUUAGAACAAUGGCAAUAGAACCACUUUUUAUCUUUUUUUUUCAGUUAAGGACACUUAGGAUUUGAAAUUUGUAAAAGAUGUAAAUACUAGAACAAUGGCAAUAGAACCGCCGGUCCAUAUGAUUGUAAACAAAUUUCAACAUAUAUCUAAAAUAGUAUUGCAUAUCGUA